This 1016-nucleotide ribosomal RNA is filed under the name uncultured Basidiomycota. RNAcentral's name for it is "eukaryotic LSU rRNA". The stretch from base 335 to 1016 matches the Rfam family "Eukaryotic large subunit ribosomal RNA", at positions 1 to 664 of the family's 3401-position model. Lineage: Eukaryota; Fungi; Basidiomycota. The record is from RNAcentral.
AUCGAUGAAGAACGCAGCGAAAUGCGAUAAGUAAUGUGAAUUGCAGAAUUCAGUGAAUCAUCGAAUCUUUGAACGCACCUUGCGCUCCUUGGUAUUCCGAGGAGCAUGCCUGUUUGAGUGUCAUUAAAUUCUCAACCUUCCAACUUUUAUUAGCUUGGUUAGGCUUGGAUGUGGGGGUUGUGGGCUUCAUUAAUGAGGUCGACUCUCCUUAAAUGCAUUAGCGGAACUUUUGUGGACCGUCUAUUGGUGUGAUAAUUAUCUACGCCGUGGAUGUGAAGCAACUUUAUGAAGUUCAGCUUCUAACCGUCCAUUAAUUUGGACAAUUUUGAAAAUUUGACCUCAAAUCAGGUAGGACUACCCGCUGAACUUAAGCAUAUCAAUAAGCGGAGGAAAAGAAACUAACAAGGAUUCCCCUAGUAACUGCGAGUGAAGCGGGAAAAGCUCAAAUUUAAAAUCUGGCAGCCUUUGGCUGUCUGAGUUGUAAUCUAGAGAAGUAUUAUCCGCGCUGGACCGUGUACAAGUCUCCUGGAAUGGAGCGUCAUAGAGGGUGAGAAUCCCGUCUUUGACACGGACUGCCAGGGCUUUGUGAUGUGCUCUCAAAGAGUCGAGUUGUUUGGGAAUGCAGCUCAAAAUGGGUGGUAAAUUCCAUCUAAAGCUAAAUAUUGGCGAGAGACCGAUAGCGAACAAGUACCGUGAGGGAAAGAUGAAAAGAACUUUGGAAAGAGAGUUAAACAGUACGUGAAAUUGCUGAAAGGGAAACGCUUGAAGUCAGUCGCGUUGGCCAGGGAUCAACCUUGCUUUUUUGCUUGGCUUACUUUCUGGUCGAUGGGUCAGCAUCAAUUUUGACUGGUGGAAAAAGUUCAAGGGAAUGUGGCAUCUUCGGAUGUGUUAUAGCCUUUGUUCGCAUACAUCGGUUGGGAUUGAGGAACUCAGCACGCCGCAAGGCCGGGUUUUUAACCACGUACGUGCUUAGGAUGCUGGCAUAAUGGCUUUAAUCGACCCGUCUUGAAACACGG